CGGCGGACGGGUGAGUAAUGCCUAGGAAUCUGCCUGGUAUGGGGGACAACGUUUCGAAAGGAACGCUAAUACCGCAUACGUCCUACGGGAGAAAGCAGGGGACCUUCGGGCCUUGCGCUAUCAGAUGAGCCUAGGUCGGAUUAGCUAGUUGGUGAGGUAAUGGCUCACCAAGGCGACGAUCCGUAACUGGUCUGAGAGGAUGAUCAGUCACACUGGAACUGAGACACGGUCCAGACUCCUACGGGAGGCAGCAGCC
RNAcentral lists this ribosomal RNA (256 nucleotides) under uncultured Pseudomonas sp. RNAcentral's name for it is "partial 16S ribosomal RNA". It matches the Rfam family "Bacterial small subunit ribosomal RNA", at positions 96 to 355 of the family's 1533-position model. The record is from RNAcentral. Lineage: Bacteria; Pseudomonadati; Pseudomonadota; Gammaproteobacteria; Pseudomonadales; Pseudomonadaceae.